RNAcentral lists this long non-coding RNA (1388 nucleotides) under Coturnix japonica (Japanese quail). Its description in RNAcentral is "lncRNA (ENSCJPG00005009969.1)". Lineage: Eukaryota; Metazoa; Chordata; Aves; Galliformes; Phasianidae. The record is from RNAcentral.
ACGCGGCACCCCCGAGCCGAGCCGGGCCGGGCCGAGCCGGGCCGGGGCCGCCCGGGUCACUCGGCACCUGUUCGCCCGGCGCUCAUGGGGCGCCGGCACAGCCCCGGCGCAGGCAGGCGGCCCCCGGCGGGGUUUUUUUGUUGUGGUGGUGCCGCUCCGGGCGGGGGGGCGGGGGCCGGCCGGGGGCUGGGCGGGGGGGGCUCUGCGCGGUGGGAAGCGGGGCGGGUGGAGGGCUCCGCGCUGCGCAGCGGCGGAGCGAGGCAGGAUAUCCCGGCGGCUGCGGCGGCGGCGGCGGCGGAGAGGGAGCUUCGGCCGGAGAGAAAGAAUUAAAAUCCCAUCCUUAGCAAAUCUCCGCUCGGCCCCGCGCUGCGCCCGCGUUCAUCCUGGAUAGCGCAGGUGAAGGGGAAAAAUGGAAAGAAGAAGGAGAGAAAAAAAAAGAAGCGAGCCCUCCCUCCUGCUCCUUCCUGCAGGCUGUGGCGGGCUGUGUCCGUCCGGGCUGUGCCUCCCGAGCAGCGCAGGAGGGAGGGAGCACUGAAGGGCAAACCGCUCUCCUCGUUCCCCUUUAUUCCAGGGCUGGGCGCGCUGCUGUCCCCGCUCCGGGCACGGAGGUGCUGGAAGGAAAGAAAGUUCUUACCUGCUAUUUUCUAAGCUUAAUACAUCCGAUCCGAGGGUUUAGUACAAAUUUUUGUUAAAGAAAAAAAAAAUCAUAAUUAUAUAUUUUUUUAAAAAAAAUGUAAUGCUCCGUAAGCAUUUCACUUCUUCGUAUUCCGUCCCACUGAAUUUGGUGAUGCCCUUUUAAGGUUUUUCAUCCAUUGAUUCACUCCCAGCAGAUGGAGGAGGGGGGGGGGGGGGGGGGGGGGGGGGGGGGGGGGGGGGGGAAGCGAAAAGAUGUAGGAGAUGGGAGAUGGGCUCGGCCGCUGGACUGGAGGAGAGCAAGCUCGGUCCCAGGAGGGCUGCGAGGGAAGGAGGCGGCUCUCGGGCGCUGUGCCGGGGUGAUGCUCGCACGCAGGACUCCUCGGGUGCGGGGGAGCCUUUGGGGGACCCUUCGGGCUGAUCCGGCUGCCAGGCGUGCAAGUGGAAGCAAGAGAAAUCAGUGGAAGCUUUUCAACUGGAACAGAAAUCAGAGGUCUCAUUUGCUCGAAGAUGUUCAAAAGGAACAGAGCUGCUGGCGUGCUGACAGCUCCCACAUCACACAGACAGGAACAGCACUAUCAAUGCAGGCCUUCUUCUGGAUCAGCUUCAGGCUCUUUCCCACCCUUCCACCUGCACUGCUGACAGAAACAGCGGCUGAUGCCUCUAUACGGCUGCUGAUGCUUCAGACACUCUGGUCUGAAGCCCAGCACAGUUUCUCUUCGCCAGGGAAAGCCCCAUCAGCGGCACACGUUUAA